This 819-nucleotide ribosomal RNA is filed under the name Purpureocillium sp. RNAcentral describes it as "LSU rRNA". It matches the Rfam family "Eukaryotic large subunit ribosomal RNA", at positions 108 to 958 of the family's 3401-position model. Lineage: Eukaryota; Fungi; Ascomycota; Sordariomycetes; Hypocreales; Ophiocordycipitaceae. The record is from RNAcentral.
CUCAAAUUUGAAAUCUGGCCCCCAGGGCCCGAGUUGUAAUUUGCAGAGGAUGCUUUUGGCGCGGUGCCUUCCGAGUUCCCUGGAACGGGACGCCAUAGAGGGUGAGAGCCCCGUCUGGUCGGACGCCUAGCCUGUGUAAAGCUCCUUCGACGAGUCGAGUAGUUUGGGAAUGCUGCUCUAAAUGGGAGGUAUAUGUCUUCUAAAGCUAAAUACCGGCCAGAGACCGAUAGCGCACAAGUAGAGUGAUCGAAAGAUGAAAAGCACUUUGAAAAGAGGGUUAAAUAGUACGUGAAAUUGUUGAAAGGGAAGCGCUUGUGACCAGACUUGGGCCCGGUGGAUCAUCCAGCGUUCUCGCUGGUGCACUCCGCCGGGUUCAGGCCAGCAUCAGUUCGCCGCGGGGGAAAAAGGCUUCGGGAACGUGGCUCCUACGGGAGUGUUAUAGCCCGUUGCAUAAUACCCUGGGGCGGACUGAGGUUCGCGCUCCGCAAGGAUGCUGGCGUAAUGGUCAUCAGCGACCCGUCUUGAAACACGGACCAAGGAGUCGUCUUCGUAUGCGAGUGUUCGGGUGUAAAACCCCUACGCGUAAUGAAAGUGAACGCAGGUGAGAGCUUCGGCGCAUCAUCGACCGAUCCUGAUGUUCUCGGAUGGAUUUGAGUAAGAGCAUACGGGGCCGGACCCGAAAGAAGGUGAACUAUGCCUGUAUAGGGUGAAGCCAGAGGAAACUCUGGUGGAGGCUCGCAGCGGUUCUGACGUGCAAAUCGAUCGUCAAAUAUGGGCAUGGGGGCGAAAGACUAAUCGAACCUUCUAGUAGCUGGUUUC